CCGUAGCCGCCGUAGCCGCAGGCACUCCUCCGCAUGGCUGCUGGCACGCUGGUGGCUAAGCGAUUGGUUUCCCUGCGCUACCUGUGCCUUGGCAGUUGGCUCUCGGCACUGCAUGGAUCGAUCGGCUUGGGGUUGUGUUUUAUAGGAGCGAUACGAUAUUGCUUUAGGCUACAUGCGUUUUCACUGUGGAAUGUGGAUUGCAGCAUUUGUUCUGGGCUGGUAGUGGUAGGGUAGUAGGACAGACACUGCUCUGACAGUCCGACCUGAUCAAUGGCUUUAUUCUUCUUCGAGUCCACUCAGGCGAGUCCUCAGGCCUGCACGAGCAUCUAGUUCGUUGUGGGCGGCAUGGCAUAAACAAUACCAAAAUGAUUAAAGCAAUGAUCCGGCUUGCCCCGUCAAUGGUGAUUAGUGAAGCAGCAACGAGAUCCUAUUCGCGUGCCCUAUUUGACGGCUUAUCUUUUGCCUUGCUAGCUGUAGUAGGCAAGUAGCAAAAAUAUGCAGCAGUUGCAUUUUAACCCCACAACGUAUCACGCGUUGGUCAUAUCACCUCCUCAAGUACUACAAAACCGGAUGUUUAACUCUCUAACCUGCACAAAACUGUUUAAAUGACCCCCUGAGGUAGCUUUGCAUGGUAGUUUUGCCACGUUGGCAUGCUGAGAUGGACGGAGAUGCUGGUGUGGAUCGACUGAUACGCGAGCUCUGUUUGCAAGUUGACAGGUCACGGUCCUCUAUCUUAGUCUUCUCCUCCCUCUCCCAUGGCCGCUCCAGCGCUCCACUCAACAUGCUCGUUGUCCUUGAGCAGCGGGAGCCUGCCGACGAGGUCAUCUGAGCAGCAAGUUCAGGCGUGGGCACAGCGGGUUAGCUGCAGCUUUGGUGCCAAAGGUCAGGGCACCCUUGCUGGGUUUGUGCAAGCCCACGCGCCACGAUGUUGCUCUGCUCUAGGCCGAGGUUCUCACACAACUGAUGCGGUAGCUGCUCCGCGAGCGCCUCCAGGACGUCGCCGUCGUCACGCUUGCUAAAGGGCCCGGCAUGGUUAUCGAAAAUCAUACCCGAAAAGAAAUCUGGCCGAGCCGAGCCCGUCUAGACUAUUGUUUCAUUUAUUUUUUCUAUUAAUUAAAGAAGAACGGGAAGGCUGAGCUGACCCAAAAAUGAUCCCGACAAUAUCUAUGUGAUAGUCUUGGGCUCAAAUUUUCGAUCCGAAAUAAAUCGGGCUUUUGUCGGCCCGGUUUGAAAAAUGCUCUAGGUCUAGUUACAUGUACCAGAAAUCACUAAUAAACUUUGUGAAGGUCUGAAGGGAUGUGAAGAGAGGUAAAAACUUUUCCACCUUUCAUCAUGAUUGCGCUGCAUGCUCUGCUGUGCACUGGAGCAGCCGGGGUCCGGUCCUUCACCUGAUCAUCUCCAACAGAUCGAUCCUCACUUCCUGCUGGUCAUGUGCACCUCAGCUUUUGCUGUAACGACAGCGUACCCUACGAUUCAUUUUGGGGCAAUCUUUGCUACGAUUUUAGGCCUUGUUUAGUUGGGGAAUUUGGGAGGUGCCAAAUUACUGUUACAGCACUGUAGCACACUGUAGCGUUUCGUUUGUAUUUGUGAAUUAUUGUCCAAAUAUUGACUAAUUAGGCUCAAAAGAUUCGUCUCGCAAAGUACAACAAAACUGUGCAAUUAGUUUUUAAUUUCAUCUACAUUUAGUACUCCAUGCAUGUACCGCAAGUUUGAUGUGAUGGGGAAUCUUCUUUUUGCAUAGUGUCAAAGUUGGGAGUUGGGAGUAACUAAACAUGGCCUUAACUUCUGAGGAGACAAGGGACAAGCAAUCAUACGAGCUGAGCUAAAUCAAACGAGCAGGCCUGAUAUACCAGCCGGUACAGCGCACAAAUUUUCAUAUCGGUGGAUGCAGAGCACGGAUGGAUCAACUGGGGGAGCACAAUUUAUUUACGUACGUACGAGUAGCCCGUUUUUUUGCCGGAUCAUUUUAGCUGCAGUGCAGUGUGUACCCCAUGCAUCAACGUUGGCAUCUACUGGAGGUGCGCCUGCUGCUGGAGGGCGUGGUUGUUGUGGCCGCGGCGGGGGUCGUAGCCGUCCCCGUCCACCUCCUUGAACGACUCCGUGUGCACAGCCGUGUGUUGCUGCACGGCGGCGGCGGCGCCGCCGCCGCCGCCGGCGUGGCAGGGGUUCCCGGCGACUUUGGUGACGCGCUCGGAGUGCGUGCCGUGGUCGUCCAUGUUGGGUUGAGGCUGGCCGCUGCCGUGGAAGGCACUCCUCCGCCGCAACCGCAUGGCCAUAGUGAUUGGUUUCCCCUGCGUUUACCCUGUGCCUUCGCACUUGGAUCGCUAUGGUUCGCGGCUUUGCGUGGAUCAACUUGGCUGCUUGGGGUUCUGUUUUAUAGGGGCGCUAUGAUUCUUAACUGCAUGCGUUUUCACUGUGGAUUGCAGCAUUUGUUCUGGCUGGUAGAGUGGUAGUGGUAGGGUAGGACAGUCGUUACAAUAUUUGCUCCGACCUGAUCCAUGGCUUUAUUCUUUCAAGUCCACUCAGGCGAGUCCUCAGGCCUGCGCAGCGCAUCUAGUUCGCUGUGGGCAUGGCAUGGCAUAUACAAUCCCAAAAUGAUUAAAAAGCAAUGAUCAAAGCCGCACAGAUCCUAUUCGCGUGCCAUAUUUGACGGUCUUUUUUUUUUUGGCCUUGCUAGCUGUAGUAUCGAAAUACACGCAGCACUUGCAUAACAAUGCAGAUCAAUGAUUUGAAUCAUAUGAAGCUUGCAUUUUUUGUGGCUUGUUAGUGCCAGUCAGUCACAAAACGUGUGCUACGAAUUAUCCGACCAUAAAGUACAACAGGGGAUCUCGCAAAAUGGAAUCCAAGAGAUCAAGAUAACAGUAGUACAGCUAGGAGAAAAGAAGGAAGUGGACUCAAGUUUCAAACCCUAAAAAACGCAGGACCCAAAGAGCGAGCAAAUUGAAAACAAUUCCCACUUAGAGUUACACCCCCGUACCCCUCACGGAGCCCCACCUGCCAGGGCAGGAGGGUGACGAAAAGGUGUGACGAAGGGUGAGAGGACAAAAAACUGGAUGAUAGAAAAUGAUUCUGCUAAAAGCCUCUUUUUUCUCCUUACCCACCCGCGCGUACCCUCCCACGCGCUAAUCACGUUCCUGAUUUUUUGGGUGAGGUCUCCUUCCUUUUUCACGCUCUGCCGUUCCGCAACUCCAUGAUUUUCUCCGUGGUUUCCUUCCUUUUACACUCUUGAUUGAUCGGUAGACUUCCUAUUGAGAGCCUUCCUUUUGAGAGCCUUUAAUUUAAUUUCGUUCCUAUUUUUUCUCCAUGGUCUUCUUCCUUUUCCAUGCUAUGCUGUCCCGCGACUUCAUGAUUUUCUCCACAGUUUCCAUCCUUUUACAUGCCUUUUACAUGCUCUUGAUUGAUUGGUAGCCUUUGUAUUGGGAGCCUUCCUUUUGAGAGCAUUUACUUUAAUUCCAUUCCUAAUUUUUCUCCAUGAUCUCCUUCCUUUUCCAUGCUUUGCCGUCCCGCGACUCCAAGAUUUUCUCCGUGGUUUCGUUCCUUUUUACACGCUCUUGAUUGGUAGACAUCCUAUUGAGAGCCUUUAAUUUAUAGGUAUGGCGAUGGCAAGUUCUCUCCUACGUCCAAGUCUCCUUCUUGCUUCACGUCCUCCUUCCACCGAGGGGCUAUUACUGGACCUCCACACCCUAACGUAGGAACGCAAUCGAGAUCAAAGGUCUACUAGUCCUUCCACUGAGGACUAUUGCCGGACUUCCACAUCCUCGUGGUGGAACUACAUGCUGGAACUCAAAUGGCUGCCGGCACCAUUUGAUCAAUUUUGCAACCGCCCGGCGAAGGAAGGCCACUGUUGUAAGAUCACCACACCAAUUAGGUAAGGCCCUAAACCUUCAUCUUCUUCCUACUAUAUAAGGUACUUAUUCAUGUUUGAUCAUGUAAUUUCACAAUGUGAUGAUUCCAUAUGUUCUCCACCCUAGACCGCAACGAAACAUUGUCAGAUUGAUAAUCCAUUAUGUUUGUGUACAACUCCAAAAUCUCUAGAUAUCUGAGAGUGAUAAUCCAUGAUGUUUUGAGUUCAUGACAUUGUCUACAUUAUACAUUGAGUUCAUGACAAUGCCCUAUAUCUUGUGUUUAUGCGGCUGACUUUUAGCCAUUACGUAUUAUUCCAUUAUCAUUGUAUCAUGUUACCUGUGUUGCUCUACAAAGAAUGAUAAAUUCUUUUUUUUUUACUCACCAACAGUACAUAAUCCAUCAAAUCUUUCAUUACAUGAUAUCUGAUCAAGAUGGGUCAUCGAGCCGUGCUUGGAGAUGUGAUGAACACACACGUAAGCGGAGCAUCGAUCCAUGGUGUUAAGAGACCUAGAGAAGGUAUCUAAUUUUUGGUUGAAUCAUAAUGUUCUGGUUUCAUAUUUGGUUGAAUCCCAAUGUUCUGGUUGCACAUAACAUAUUAAGGAGACUUAUCCAUGUAACCUUUUGAGCGCAGGUGAAAAUGUUGAUGAUGCAGAAUGACAAAAAGCAAGGGAAUGAUAUGCAAAUAUGCCAUUGGAGAAGAAGGCUGAGUGGAAUGCAAAGAGAAGGGAAGAUCAUCAGCGUAAAAAGGUGGAGAGACAAUCAAGCAAUGGCAUGCUGGAACCUCUCAGACAAUUAGGCAGUGUCAUGCAUGAACUUCUGGGAGAACCAUCAUGUGAUGAACCACCUCUCAAACAAUUAGGCAAUAUCUUAUACAUUCAUUAAAAAUUGUGAGUCAGUAUAGUAGGAUCCUUAAAUUAUGAUAUAGUUUUUUUUUACUUUCACAGGGAUAUCUCAUGAUAUGGAUCGGGUGAUGUUGGUGGGGAUUGGCUUAGUAGGAACCCCAGCUAUACAAGAUCACUGAGAACUUAUCAUAUGCUACCAAUCUUCGUAUCAGGUCUGAUAGUAGUACCUUGACAUGAUGUUCAAUAGGUUUUUUAAUUGAUAUCUUUAAGCAUUUACAAUUUACAUCCCAGAUCUUGAUGAGAUGCCUCUGUAUGUUCUAGGAUUGGAUGGAGUCAAGGAAACGGAUGACGAGGGAAGGCAAAUAUUGAAUUGUCACAGAGAAGUAAGCAAACAUCUGACUUCGUGUUUACUGGUAUGGCUUAUAUGAAACCCAUGUAGCCCUAGCAUAUAAUCAUACAUGCAGGAUAUCGCCUCUAACAAUAGGCAUGUAUAUUUAUAUAUUUAAAGAUGUACCAAUGAUCAGCAUUGUCCCUAAUGAUGUGUCUCUACAAGAUCUGAGAGUGGAGGAAAGCAUGGAAAAGGAGGGGCAUACAUUUGCCUCAAUGUCAGCUGAUAAGAAAAGCGUGAGGAAUGCCAAAAGAAGAGCAAAUUACCAUCACUCAAAGUGCCAGGAAGAGGCAAUCUUCCUUGAUGUAGAAAAACCUAAUCUCACCUUCACUGGUAUGCAUGUUAAUUUUUGCCUACAAAAUUUGAUGGAGUUCCAGCGACUUGCAAUUAUUCUAAUUUUACGCUACAAGCAGGAGAAAUUGGAUAUAGACAAUAUGUGGUAACGGCAAACAUUGCAACUCCAGAUGCAUGUUUGAAAUUGUACUGCCUAUGUUUAAAAUUUUAUUUAAGCACAUGGAUGCGUAUAUAAGUUUUUUUAAUAAGGUGACCAACAUAUUGGAGUAGAGGUGUCUCCGGAGGAACUGAAGAGGUUAAGAGAAAGGAAAAGAUAUGUUGAACUAUCUGACUUUGAAAGACAACAAAAAAUAUUAAAAAAUAACAAUGGACGACACAAUAAAAUUUCUAAACAAGGUACUAUAUUUGAGCUAUUUUCUCAAAUUCCAUUAAUUGUUUUAUACUAUAUAUAAUUAUGUUGUUCCAUUUUUGGGCGAAUGUUUCAGAUAUAGGGUUACAAACCCCUAUUGGAACAUUGCAGUCUGGGGUAACCCAGUUAGGGUCUGGUCCAAGAACAAGGGGUUCUAUUAAUAAUGAAAAUGCCGAACCUAAUCAAUCUGGUUUAUAAGAACCAAACAAUCCAUUGCACGGAAUAGAAGGUAACUUUAAAUCACUUGGUCUUGUCUAUGAUUUUCAUUGUACGUUGACAAUAUCCCAAUUAAUAUAUUGUAUUCUAUUCUACAAUGAAACAGAGAACAAUUUAGAUGAGAUGGAUCCUGACCAAGAAGGAGAUGAUAAGUUAGAUGAUGGUGAAGCGAGGGUAUUUUACCAACGAGGUAUGUUAUAUAUUAUUGAAAUGAAUGUAACUUUCCUCUCGCAACAAGAUGGUUUAUAAUUAAUUAUUGGUUUGUGGCAGAUAUCCAUUACAAGUAUUAUAGAGAUCCGGAUAUGGCUUCUAAGGGUCCUGAACCAUUUGAUGGAGUGUACAUGAACCUUCCUAAGAAGCAUCAUGUGUUGAAGAAGGCCAAAAACUGUGAGUUCUGCAAUGCGAAGAAGUUCCUUGGUGAAAGACCUGCUUUAUGUUGCAGGAAUGGGAAGGUCCACAUAUAUGUCCCAGAAGUUUUGUCUGAGCUUCACCGGUUAUUUACGAGUCAAACGGAUAAGGAUGCAAGGUAUUUCAGAAAGCACAUAUGGUACUUCAACUCACAUUUCUCUUUCACCAGCUUUAGGUUUUCCAUUGACCGUCAUCUCGCGUAUGCAAGAGGUAAUGGUGUGUAUACCUUUAAGGCACAUGGCCAGAUUUACCAUAAGCUCGAUCCACUUGUGCCGGGUGGGAAAGGGCCACGCCAUAUGCAGCUCUACAUUUAUGACACGGAUGAUAGUAUUGGUUAUCGUGUUAAGACAUCCCCUAAUCUUGAUGAGAACCGGAUCCGCUUGAUCCGUGGUAUUUUACGGGACAAUCCGUACAUCCAAGUGUUCACAAGCCUAGGUACUCUUGCAGAUAUUCAAGAGUACAUGAUUGAGUUGAAUACCAAGAUUUCUAUUGAUUAGAGGAGAUACAAUGCACCCAAAAUGGAGCAGAUUGCGGCUAUCUAGGUUGAUGGCAAUAACUCUCAGCAUAGGUUCUCCCGGAGCAUUGGAUAUAUGGAAAAUGAGAUGAUCCGUACUAUAUUAUGGCGUACCAUGGCUGUUAUGACCCAUUGGCAUAUCCUUUGUUUUUCCCUUGUGGCGAGACUGACUGGGAGGACAAGACGAUAGUGUUUCGAGAUCCACCACCAUCAAAGCCAAAGUGGAAGUAUACUAAGCGUAACAGGAAAAGGUAUGCGUAUUCCACCAUUCUUUCGUACUUCAUCCAUAGAUUCAUUGCACUCACUAUAUGAAAUCUGAUGAUUUAUGCUGCAACAUAGAUGGAACUGAAGCCGAUGUGGGUGAUCGUACAAACAAUGACCAUUGUGUCGUGCAAGGACGUAAAAAAAGAGUCGCUCAUGGUAUGUACUAUUUUUCUUGUGCUUUCAUACACACUUCACUUUGCUGUAUUUGUAAAGUAUUUAUUUACUUUUGCCUCAUAGAUCCGCAUAUUGAUGAAGCAGAUGACACAGCAUAUGGUGACUACAUCAAUGAGGAAGGUGUGUAUGCAGAUAUGCCAUAUUAUAUCAUUCACAAAUUUAAGAUUGAAAAGUAAGAGCGUCGGAGGAGAGGAGGUGGAGCGGUGGCGGCGGUGGAAGAGAGGAGGGGGUAGCGGCGCUAGCACCGGAGGAGAGGAGUGGCGAAGCGAUACCGGCGGUAGAGAGGAGGAGAGGUUCGAGAGAGGCAACAGGCAGGUGGCGGCGGGAGAGAGAGGAGGGGUAGUGGUGGUUAGGGUUUAGAUUUAGUUUUAUGUGGGGUGGAGGGUAACGGGCCAAUACAGGCCGGCACCCUAAAAUCGUGCCGGGCCGGGCCGCCCGUCGUGCCGAGGUGGCGGCCCACGCCCGGCAUGAGCCAUUAGGCUGAGCCAGCCCGAGCUCAAAGAGUUACGGGCCGGGCCAGGCUUAGGACGGGCCAAAAAACCGAGUUUUGUGUUGGGCUGUCAGGCUGCUGGCUGCAUGGACUAUCUAUACCCUAAAUGAAACUUAAUUAAACCAUGGAUGUAAUAAUUAAUAAGUAGAAGGAAAAAAAUCAAACUCAAUUAUGUAUUAAAUUCAAUGAGAUUCAUCAAUUAAAACUAUGGAUGUAAUAAUUAAUAAGUAGAAAAAAUAUAAUCAAACUCAAUUCUAUAUUACAUUAAAAUGAUAAACAUAGCAUUGUAAUGGUUAUAAUAUGACCAUAGAAUUUUAUUUAAAAAAAUAAUCCAUCUUUAGUUAUUUUCUCUCUCUUCUAGGUCUAGAUCUUGAUCUAGAUGACAACCUAAUGAAGCUAGAAAUGAUGUAUAGAAGUUGAAAAUGAAGGUUGGAAUGGCACAUACUUACCUUUUAUAGCCACCUCCUCCAAAGAAAACAAGAGCUCCAAAUGGAAGGUUGGCUGGUGAAGAAGCUGUUCGCGACUUUAUCUGGGCGGCAUCUGUGCUAGCGGGCCACCUAACGCACCCGCCAGCACAUAUGCAUCCCAUGUGUGCUGGCGGACGCUUAGCUCGCCCGUCAGCACAGAGCUGGCUCUGUGCUGGCAGGCACUAGCCCGGUGGCCCCGAUCAUCUUUGUGCUGGUGGGUGCCAAUUUCACCCGUCAGUAUGCUAAUUUCGACGUGCCAACACAAAUCAUUUUCGGGGUAGUGUUUCUCUUGGCCCUGAUCUUGUGUGGUUGUGUUGGUACUUGGUACUCGGUAUGGCCUGGCACUGGCACCGCAUUGGGUCGGCUUUUAUAGGAGCUCAACACGCGUAGUCAUGGGCUCGCUCAUGGCAUUGAUGGAAGAAGAAUUUGCGCAGUAGGGUAGUGCAGGGGCUGCAGGCUGCUCAGCUGAUGGGCUCGGACCGUCGGACGUGGUCAGUUGCUUUAGUUUUUGAGUGAUCGAGUCCACUAAUGUCUCGAGCAUCAUCGAGAACAAUUCUGGUGCUCCAACCCCUUGAGGUAGUACUCCCGAGUGACAAAUAAAAAAAGAUCAUAUCCUUCGCAAAAGAAAAGGAAAAAAAGCUGAGAGUGGAAAAUCAACCAAUAAAAGAGGCGAUUAGAAAUUUGCAGACCGGCAGUAGUGAAUUGUUAAUGCGCCUUGCGUUGUGAUUAAUUAAAUACACGAAAGGCUGCUUGUACAAUCAGGAAAAAUUGCCCUCCUGGCACUCACUGGCAAAACCACGGAUCGGAGCUGCUUCCCUGGGGCAAAACGAUUUCCUCGCAUGCAUGCUGGAGAGCAAGACCGGAUCGUUCACCCUCUAGCCGUGAUAUCUUGCUCCAUGAGGGAUCUCUGCUAGCUCUACAAGCUUGGGCGCGCGCCAUGGCUGCCAUGAUGCCCAGCAGCCGGUCCGGGUCCGCCCCUUCACCUGCGACGACGACAGAUCACAGAACGGCGAGCCGAGGCGGGGAGAGAGAGCGAGAGCGUCACCAGAUGCAACGUGGCGCAGGAAGCGAGGCAUGCAUCCAGGAGGAAGAAGAAGGAGAUCGGGAUGGUCAGACUCAGACAGGCGGCGGCGGCGCUCCGGCGAGCCGUGGCGUGAAGCAGAGGCGGCGUACCAUGCGACCUAAGGAGCGGUCGUUGUUUCAGAAAAUACCGUCCACCCCUUGGGAGCCUGUGAACCGUCCGGUCGAGCCUGUGUGGCCCAGAAUAGACCCACGGCGGGAGGCGCCUGCCUCGUCAGGCUCGGAUGACGGGCGCGUACAUGGCGGCCCGCCGAGACUGAAGAAGCAGAGGAUGUCUGGCUCGCUUGCCCGGGCUUCGAGCACCAGUGGCGGCGGCGCGAUUCUACACGUGUUCGUGUAAAUGCCUCACUACCGCAACGAUUUCGGUGGGGGAUGCAAACUCGCGCAGGUCCCGCCUCCCGCCCCGAUUACGCUCUCGGAACAAAAACAAAAGGAAAACAGUAGCAGCACAGAGCGUGCCUCGAAACCUUUUAUUCAUGUCACGGUCUUAUUCUUGUAUGUAUACAUAAAGUGCAUGCAGUGUGCGUACACACACUCAUGUGACCGUGCACACCGUACACAUAGCUAGCUAGCUGUCAGGACGCAGGAAGCAGCUGGCAGCGCUGCGUUCCUGACGAUGACCGUGAAGUUCACCUCGAUCGUCCGAUCCGCGUUCAGGCGUAGUACUCGCCGGUGCACGAGUCGUAGCGCUUGCUCUCGCACGCGUCGUAGUGGCGCCCGCCGUGGCCGUAGCCGCCGUGCCCGUGCCCGUGCAGGUGGUGCUGCUCGCGGUGCUCGCCGAGGUGGCCGUGGCAGGACCCCUCGUGCCCGGCGUAGCCACCGACGUGGUGGUGGUGGUGGCUGCCGCUGCGGCCGAGGUGGCCGCCGCCGUACUGACCGUGGCCGUGGCCGUAGUGGCCCCUGCCGGCGCGCGCCACCUCGUCGAUCUCCUCGUACUCCUUGCGGACGGCGUAGCGCUCGCCGCCCUCGCCGUAGCGGUACCCGGGCUCGGCGUACGGCCUCCUCACGUCCUCCGCGCAGUAGCCGGACUCCGAGUAGUACGCCAUGGCGGCGGUGAUGCCCUGGUGUCAGCUAGCUGAUCAGUUCGUUGCAGUGAACGGACUUGUGUGCGCGGUGAUCUGCAAUGCUGAGACCUGAUCGAUCGAUGCAGGAUAUAUACAUGGACUGGCCCUGCUUUUAUAGGGUGCAAGCAAAGCAACUCAUCCUCAUGCAUGAUUCAGAUGGAAGAAAUGCUCUGGUAAGGACGUGAGGAUGGAUGCAUGAGUGGAGCAGGGAACUUGUUCUGAAAGAUACGUGCGCGCUCACUGCUUUCUGCCGAGCCGUGCCACCUGCACGUUGGGAUCGAAGG
Molecule: long non-coding RNA, 10740 nt
Filed under: Setaria italica (foxtail millet)
Lineage: Eukaryota; Viridiplantae; Streptophyta; Magnoliopsida; Poales; Poaceae
Description: long non-coding RNA (SITA_LNC004144)
Source: RNAcentral